UGCAAGCAUUAUCCGGAGUGACUGGGCGUAAAGAUUGCGUAGGCGGUUAUGUAAGCGAAUAGUGAAACCUGGUGGCUCAACCACACAGACUAUUAUUCGAACUGCAUAACUCGAGAAUGGUAGAGGUAACUGGAAUUUCUUGUGUAGGAGUGAAAUCCGUAGAUAUAAGAAGGAACACCAAUGGCGUAGGCAGGUUACUGGGCCAUUUCUGACGCUAAGGCACGAAAGCGUGGGGAGCGAACCGGAUUAGAUACCCGGGUAGUCCACGCCGUAAACGAUGGAUACUAGCUGUUGGAGGUAUCGACCCCUUCAGUAGCGAAGCUAACGCGUUAAGUAUCCCGCCUGUGGAGUACGGCCGCAAGGCUAAAACAUAAAGGAAUUGACGGGGACCCGCACAAGCGGUGGAUCAUGUUCUUUAAUUCGAUGCUAAACGAAGAACCUUACCAGGACUUGACAUCCUUGGAAGCACUACGAAAGUAGCGUGUGCCUUUUGGAACCAAGUGACAGGUGUUGCAUGGCCGUCGUCAGCUCGUGUCGUGAGAUGUUUGGUUAAGUCCAUCAACGAGCGCAACCCUUAUGGUCUGU
RNAcentral lists this ribosomal RNA (585 nucleotides) under uncultured bacterium. RNAcentral's name for it is "bacterial SSU rRNA". It matches the Rfam family "Bacterial small subunit ribosomal RNA", at positions 533 to 1115 of the family's 1533-position model. The record is from RNAcentral.